This 458-nucleotide ribosomal RNA is filed under the name uncultured bacterium. RNAcentral's name for it is "bacterial SSU rRNA". It matches the Rfam family "Bacterial small subunit ribosomal RNA", at positions 29 to 531 of the family's 1533-position model. The record is from RNAcentral.
AACGAACGCUGGCGGCAGGCCUAACACAUGCAAGUCGAGCGCCCCCGCAAGGGGAGCGGCGGACGGGUGAGUAACACGUGGGAACGUACCCUUUGCUACGGAAUAGUCUCGGGAAACUGGGGGUAAUACCGUAUGUGCCCUUCGGGGGAAAGAUUUAUCGGCAAAGGAUCGGCCCGCGUUGGAUUAGGUAGUUGGUGGGGUAAUGGCCUACCAAGCCGACGAUCCAUAGCUGGUUUGAGAGGAUGAUCAGCCACACUGGGACUGAGACACGGCCCAGACUCCUACGGGAGGCAGCAGUGGGGAAUCUUAGACAAUGGGCGCAAGCCUGAUCUAGCCAUGCCGCGUGAGCGAUGAAGGCCUUAGGGUUGUAAAGCUCUUUCAGUGGGGAAGAUAAUGACUGUACCCACAGAAGAAGCCCCGGCUAACUCCGUGCCAGCAGCCGCGGUAAAGUCUGUACU